RNAcentral lists this ribosomal RNA (479 nucleotides) under uncultured bacterium. RNAcentral's name for it is "bacterial SSU rRNA". It matches the Rfam family "Bacterial small subunit ribosomal RNA", at positions 28 to 507 of the family's 1533-position model. The record is from RNAcentral.
GACGAACGCUGGCGGCGUGCCUAACACAUGCAAGUCGAGCGGAGUCGAUCGACGGAAGCCUUCGGGCGGAAGAUGGUUGACUUAGCGGCGGAUGGGUGAGUAACGCGUGGGCAACCUGCCUCGAAGACCGGGAUAACAGCCCGAAAGGGCUGCUAAUACCGGAUGUGGUCAAGGAUCCGCAUGGAUUUUUGAUUAAAGGGGAAACCCGUUUCGAGAUGAGCCCGCGUCCUAUCAGCUAGUUGGUGAGGUAAAAGCUCACCAAGGCGACGACGGGUAGCCGGCCUGAGAGGGUGACCGGCCACACUGGAACUGAGACACGGUCCAGACUCCUACGGGGGGCAGCAGUGGGGAAUCUUCCACAAUGGGCGAAAGCCUGAUGGAGCGACGCCGCGUGAGCGAAGAAGGCCUCGGUGUAAGCUCUGUCUGGAGGGACGAAGGAAGUGACGGUACCUCCGGAGGAAGCCACGGCUAACUACGUG